RNAcentral lists this ribosomal RNA (494 nucleotides) under uncultured bacterium. RNAcentral describes it as "partial 16S ribosomal RNA". It matches the Rfam family "Bacterial small subunit ribosomal RNA", at positions 28 to 507 of the family's 1533-position model. The record is from RNAcentral.
GACGAACGCUGGCGGCGUGCUUAACACAUGCAAGUCGAACGGUGAAGCGCCUUCCUUUUUGGUGGGUGUGGAUGAGUGGCGAACGGGUGAGUAACACGAGAGUAACCUGCUCCCUUCUUCUGGAUAACCGCAUGAAAGUGUGGCUAAUACGGGAUAUUCUGGGUCUGUCGCAUGAUGGGUCUGUGAAAGCUUUUGUUUCGGUAGGGGAUGGGCUCGCGGUCUAUCGGCUUGUUGGUGGGGUGCUGGCCUACCAAGGCGGUGAGGGGUAGCUGGCCUGGGAGGGUCGACGGCCAUACAGGGGCGGAGACACCGAGAAGACUACGAGAGGAGGCAGUGGUGAAGAUUGGAGAACGGGGGGAAGAAGGCUGAAGCAGCGACGCGGCGUGGAGGAUGGAGGCCGUGUGGUUAUGAACCUCUUUCGGGAGUGAAGCGGGCCUGCCUCGUUUGUGGGUGGGUUGACGGUAGCUGGAGAAGAAGCGUCGGCUAACUACGUG